This 97-nucleotide transfer RNA is filed under the name Clostridiales bacterium. RNAcentral's name for it is "tRNA-Sec". It matches the Rfam family "Selenocysteine transfer RNA". The record is from RNAcentral. Lineage: Bacteria; Bacillati; Bacillota; Clostridia; Eubacteriales. RNAcentral also lists the same sequence under 1 other name.
GGGAGCAGAUGGGUGCUGGUGUGUCCCCCGGUCUUCAAAACCGGUGUAAGAGGUUAGUAGCCCCUUGGGUGGGUUCGAUUCCCACAUGCUCUCGCCA